Molecule: ribosomal RNA, 497 nt
Filed under: uncultured bacterium
Lineage: Bacteria
Description: partial 16S ribosomal RNA
Rfam family: Bacterial small subunit ribosomal RNA
Source: RNAcentral
GACGAACGCUGGCGGCGUGCCUAAUACAUGCAAGUUGAGCGAUGAAGCUUGGUGCUUGCACCAAUUUGGAGAGCCGCGCACGGGUGAGUAACGCGUGGGGAAUCUGCUUUUGAGCGGGGGACAACAUUUGGAAACGAAUGCUUAUACCGCAUAACAACUUUAUACAUAAGUUUUAAGUUUGAAAGAUGCCAUUGCAUCACUCAAAGAUGGUCUCGCGUUGUAUUAGCUAGUUGGUGAGGUAAAGGCUCUCCAAGGCGAUGAUACAUAGCCGACCUGAGAGGGUGAUCGGCCGCAUUGGGACGGUGACCCGGCCCAAACGCCCACAGGAGGCAGCAGGAGGGAAUCGUCGGCAAGGGACGAAAGACUGACCGAGCUACGCCGCGGGAGGGUAGAAGGUUUUCGGGUCGGAAAACUCGGUUGUUAGAGAAGAACGUGGGUUAGAGUGGAAAGCUCAGCAAGUGACGGUAACUACCCAGAAAGGGACGGCUAACUACGUG